RNAcentral lists this long non-coding RNA (246 nucleotides) under Vigna radiata. RNAcentral describes it as "long non-coding RNA (VRAD_LNC006421)". Lineage: Eukaryota; Viridiplantae; Streptophyta; Magnoliopsida; Fabales; Fabaceae. The record is from RNAcentral.
AAUGGGGUCGUUGAGUGAGUGAGUUGGGGGUUUGGACCACUGUAUGGAAGAUUCACCUAGCGAGUUGGGGCACUAAGCGAGAGGUUGGGGUCUGGUACCACUGGUAGUUUUAUUUGCUCAACGAGCAGAUUCGCUGAGCGAGUGGUUUAGAGUCUGGGGUACUAUCAGUGGAUUCGCACUACGAGUUGGUUCGUUGUGCAAGAAAACUUUGUGGCCGCUCAGCGAGUGUGUGUGUUAAGCGACUGG